This 484-nucleotide ribosomal RNA is filed under the name uncultured bacterium. RNAcentral's name for it is "partial 16S ribosomal RNA". It matches the Rfam family "Bacterial small subunit ribosomal RNA", at positions 30 to 507 of the family's 1533-position model. The record is from RNAcentral.
AUUGAACGCUGGCGGCAGGCCUAACACAUGCAAGUCGAGCGGAUGAAGGGAGCUUGCUCCUGGAUUCAGCGGCGGACGGGUGAGUAAUGCCUAGGAAUCUGCCUGGUAGUGGGGGAUAACGUCCGGAAACGGGCGCUAAUACCGCAUACGUCCUGAGGGAGCAAGUGGGGGAUCUUCGGACCUCACGCUAUCAGAUAAGCCUAGGUCGGAUUAGCUAGUUGGUGGGGUAAAGGCCUACCAAGGCGACGAUCCGUAACUGGUCUGAGAGGAUGAUCAGUCACACUGGAACUGAGACACGGUCCAGACUCCUACGGGAGGCAGCAGUGGGGAAUAUUGGACAAUGGGCGAAAGCCUGAUCCAGCCAUGCCGCGUGUGUGAAGAAGGUCUUCGGAUUGUAAAGCACUUUAAGUUGGGAGGAAGGGCAGUAAGUUAAUACCUUGCUGUUUUGACGUUACCAACAGAAUAAGCACCGGCUAACUUCGUG